GGGUUGUGAGGUUAAGCGACUAAGCGUACACGGUGGAUGCCCUGGCAGUCAGAGGCGAUGAAGGGCGUGCUAAUCUGCGAUAAGCGCCGGUAAGGUGAUAUGAACCGUUAUAACCGGCGAUACCCGAAUGGGGAAACCCAGUGUGACUCGUCACACUAUCAUUAACUGAAUCCAUAGGUUAAUGAGGCGAACCGGGGGAACUGAAACAUCUAAGUACCCCGAGGAAAAGAAAUCAACCGAGAUUCCCCCAGUAGCGGCGAGCGAACGGGGAGGAGCCCAGAGCCUGAAUCAGCAUGUGUGUUAGUGGAAGCGUCUGGAAAGGCGCGCGAUACAGGGUGACAGCCCCGUACACAAAAGCGCAUGUGCUGUGAGCUCGAUGAGUAGGGCGGGACACGUGGUAUCCUGUCUGAAUAUGGGGGGACCAUCCUCCAAGGCUAAAUACUCCUGACUGACCGAUAGUGAACCAGUACCGUGAGGGAAAGGCGAAAAGAACCCCGGCGAGGGGAGUGAAAAAGAACCUGAAACCGUGUACGUACAAGCAGUGGGAGCACAGGUUUACCUGUGUGACUGCGUACCUUUUGUAUAAUGGGUCAGCGACUUAUAUUCUGUAGCAAGGUUAACCGAAUAGGGGAGCCGGAGGGAAACCGAGUCUUAAUUGGGCGUUAAGUUGCAGGGUAUAGACCCGAAACCCGGUGAUCUAGCCAUGGGCAGGUUGAAGGUUGGGUAACACUAACUGGAGGACCGAACCGACUAAUGUUGAAAAAUUAGCGGAUGACCUGUGGCUGGGGGUGAAAGGCCAAUCAAACCGGGAGAUAGCUGGUUCUCCCCGAAAGCUAUUUAGGUAGCGCCUCGUGAAUUCAUCUCCGGGGGUAGAGCACUGUUUCGGCUAGGGGGCCAUCCCGGCUUACCAACCCGAUGCAAACUGCGAAUACCGGAGAAUGUUAUCACGGGAGACACACGGCGGGUGCUAACGUCCGUCGUGAAGAGGGAAACAACCCAGACCGCCAGCUAAGGUCCCAAAGUCAUGGUUAAGUGGGAAACGAUGUGGGAAGGCCCAGACAGCCAGGAUGUUGGCUUAGAAGCAGCCAUCAUUUAAAGAAAGCGUAAUAGCUCACUGGUCGAGUCGGCCUGCGCGGAAGAUGUAACGGGGCUAAACCAUGCACCGAAGCUGCGGCAGCGACACUGUGUGUUGUUGGGUAGGGGAGCGUUCUGUAAGCCUGUGAAGGUGGCCUGUGAGGGUUGCUGGAGGUAUCAGAAGUGCGAAUGCUGACAUAAGUAACGAUAAAGCGGGUGAAAAGCCCGCUCGCCGGAAGACCAAGGGUUCCUGUCCAACGUUAAUCGGGGCAGGGUGAGUCGACCCCUAAGGCGAGGCCGAAAGGCGUAGUCGAUGGGAAACAGGUUAAUAUUCCUGUACUUGGUGUUACUGCGAAGGGGGGACGGAGAAGGCUAUGUUGGCCGGGCGACGGUUGUCCCGGUUUAAGCGUGUAGGCUGGUUUUCCAGGC
RNAcentral lists this ribosomal RNA (1503 nucleotides) under Salmonella enterica subsp. enterica serovar Newport. RNAcentral describes it as "bacterial LSU rRNA". It matches the Rfam family "Bacterial large subunit ribosomal RNA", at positions 1 to 1537 of the family's 2925-position model. The record is from RNAcentral. Lineage: Bacteria; Pseudomonadati; Pseudomonadota; Gammaproteobacteria; Enterobacterales; Enterobacteriaceae.